RNAcentral lists this ribosomal RNA (429 nucleotides) under Bacteroidota bacterium. Its description in RNAcentral is "Bacteroidetes bacterium partial 16S ribosomal RNA". It matches the Rfam family "Bacterial small subunit ribosomal RNA", at positions 355 to 776 of the family's 1533-position model. Lineage: Bacteria; Pseudomonadati; Bacteroidota. The record is from RNAcentral.
UAGGGAAUCUUCCGCAAUGGACGCAAGUCUGACGGAGCAACGCCGCGUGAGUGAAGAAGGAUUUCGGUUCGUAAAACUCUGUUGUUAGAGAAGAACAGCGCAUAGAGUAACUGUUAUGCGUGUGACGGUAUCUAACCAGAAAGCCACGGCUAACUACGUGCCAGCAGCCGCGGUAAUACGUAGGUGGCAAGCGUUGUCCGGAGUUAUUGGGCGUAAAGCGAGCGCAGGCGGUCAAUUAAGUCUGAUGUGAAAGCCCCCGGCUCAACCGGGGAGGGUCAUUGGAAACUGGUUGACUUGAGUGCAGAAGAGGAGAGUGGAAUUCCAUGUGUAGCGGUGAAAUGCGUAGAUAUGUGGAGGAACACCAGUGGCGAAGGCGACUCUCUGGUCUGUCACUGACGCUGAGGCUCGAAAGCGUGGGUAGCAAACAGG